Molecule: long non-coding RNA, 1216 nt
Organism: Hevea brasiliensis (rubber tree)
Lineage: Eukaryota; Viridiplantae; Streptophyta; Magnoliopsida; Malpighiales; Euphorbiaceae
Exons: 2
Source: RefSeq, a predicted model, not a curated record
AUUAAAAUUAAUCAAAUGAUAAGUUAUUUAAAAUUAUACUUAUGAUUAGAAGUACCAAAGUAUUUGCCUUCCCUAACAAAAUUGUUCAGUCAUCGCCCAUUAAUGGCUUCCCUCACAUCAUUGUCGCUUCCUUCGCUACGAAUCCUUCUAGUUCUACUCCAGCUGCCACCCUCUUCUUCUCGCAUAAUUAUCACCUUACCCCUUCAACAAGCUACUCAGAAUCUACACCACAUUGAACCAUAUACAUACGACAACGUUAAUUCCCACCUUAUCCUAUAAGGCUUAAAUCACUAAGGCUUUUCGACAAUAUUAAUAAAUUUCCCACUCCUCAACCACUGAAAGAGAGAAAAACCAACUGCAUCAACCACUGCUGGAAUUGUCUUCCUCCUGAUUUUAUAAUCCAAAUUUUAAUUGACUUGCUAUUAGUUUUUUUCUUUUUUUUUUUUUCUUUUUUUUUUUUCUGUGUUGCAGCAGCUGAGAAUCCCAUUCUAAUAUGCUCAGAAAGAACUGUGAAGAGGGAUGAUUCAGUGAUUGAUCCUUUGCAGCUGCGUGCCAAUUUGGCAAUAAAAUAUUAUUAUUCACCGGAGAAUAUCCAGAAGAGGACAGUUCAAUCUGGGUUCAAUGAAUCAACUCCAUCAUUGGAUGAAUAGAUCUUUAUUUACCCUUCCUGCUAGAGGAUGAAAUUGGGUCAAGGUUUGCGGUAAAGAUUUCUUUAGCAGAUGAAUCCCUUCCUGAUUUCACCGCAUCAGCAGUUGGAGACGAUGAUUCAAUGGUCGAGGAGGGAAAGCUUGAAAUUACAAGGAAAAGGGACAGGAGGAAUAGUUCGAUUCAGCUUGUUGGCUUUGUUAGAAUGAUUCUCACUUCUCAGCAGCUCUCAGUUUUUCUUUGGGCAAAAGAAAACUUCCCAAAGCCUUUUAAAAAAGAAGCAGCAGUAACAUUUACCAAAGGAAUCAUUAUUGAAGAUCUCUUUCUUAUUUAAAUCAGAUUUAUGUCCAUUAAAACCUACAUUUAAAUAGUUUACUCAUGGGCUAUGGAGACAUAGGUAGAUUUUGAUCAUUGUAAUUUCAUUUUAUUGAUUUUUCAUGAUCCUCAACAGAUGCAAAUUCCUUGACAGUACUUUGUGAGCUAAUCAGGGAGAGAAUUGGGGUACUGUAGAGUAAACUUAUUAAGAAUUUUCUUUCUAGUGGUAUAAAAAUCACAGAUUGUAUUUCAUUGC